This is a long non-coding RNA of Sapajus apella (tufted capuchin), 104 nucleotides long. RefSeq lists it as uncharacterized. Lineage: Eukaryota; Metazoa; Chordata; Mammalia; Primates; Cebidae. The record is from RefSeq and is a predicted model, not a curated record. The transcript has 3 exons.
AGACACUAAAUCUGCCAGUGCCUGGAUCUUGAACUACCUAGCCUCCAGAGCAGUGAGAAAUCAGUUCCUGUUGUUCAUAAGCCACUCAGCUUAUGGUAUUUUGU